Molecule: ribosomal RNA, 468 nt
Filed under: uncultured bacterium
Lineage: Bacteria
Description: partial 16S ribosomal RNA
Rfam family: Bacterial small subunit ribosomal RNA
Source: RNAcentral
GACGAACGCUGGCGGCGUGCUUAACACAUGCAAGUCGAACGGAAAGGCCCUGCUUUUGUGGGGUGCUCGAGUGGCGAACGGGUGAGUAACACGUGAGUAACCUGCCCUUGACUUUGGGAUAACUUCAGGAAACUGGGGCUAAUACCGGAUAGGAGCUCCUGCUGCAUGGUGGGGGUUGGAAAGUUUCGGCGGUUGGGGAUGGACUCGCGGCUUAUCAGCUUGAUGGUGGGGUAGUGGCUUACCAAGGCUUUGACGGGUAGCCGGCCUGAGAGGGUGACCGGCCACAUUGGGACUGAGAUACGGCCCAGACUCCUACGGGAGGCAGCAGUGGGGAAUAUUGCACAAUGGGCGGAAGCCUGAUGCAGCAACGCCGCGUGCGGGAUAACGGCCUUCGGGUUGUAAACCGCUUUCGCCUGUGACGAAGCGUGAGUGACGGUAAUGGGUAAAGAAGCACCGGCUAACUACGUG